Motacilla alba alba is the source of this 4032-nucleotide long non-coding RNA. RefSeq lists it as uncharacterized. The record is from RefSeq and is a predicted model, not a curated record. NCBI's taxonomy places the organism in Eukaryota, Metazoa, Chordata, Aves, Passeriformes, Motacillidae. The transcript has 2 exons.
GCCAGGGCAGCGCUGCCCUGCCUCCUCCGGCCUGCAGCGCCGAGUUCCCCGGGCCCGCUCGGGCAGGGCUGGCGCGGAGCCGGUGCCGCUGCAGUGGAGCCGCCAUGGCCCGAUGAAAUUCCGCUGCAGCUCGCAUUGAGUGGAGGCUGAGGGUUAUCUUGGAACUUCACAAGCCUCGCUGUGCUCUGCGGGAAAUUGCAGCUUGUGCUCACUGCAGACCCAGAGUAGGUGAGCCAGGAAAGCCUGGCUUGAGCAACCACUUCAGAGGGCAGGACAGGGAGGAAAAGCAAACACUGUAGAGAGGUGGCCUCCCUGGUAAGGCUAGAGCAGGACCGUCCUGCGGACUCUGAGGGAGGGAGAAGGUAAGUGGCUGCUUGGCAGAGGCUGUCUGCGGGAGCGGCAUGUGCCGGGCAGGGUGCGCCCUGCCCGCAGCUCCUGCGGCUCAGCACCAGCCGCUCCGUGGGUUUGUACAACCUGUGCUGUGGUAUGUGCCGAGGCUCAGGGCUGUUUCCCUGCGAGGGAGCAGGGUGCUGCCGCGAAGGAGGCACCGCAACCCGCGCCUUUCGCAACAACUGCGCUCAUCGCUCCAUUCCUCGCUCCCCCCCUCGCUCCUCACCGGGUCAGCCUCUAUGUCGAGAACAAGCGACAAACCGUCCGCACAAAACAGAACACGUUCCCAUGGAGGGGGAGAAAACCAAACAAACCAACAACAAAACCAAAGCUCUUCCGCAGUGCUAGGCUGGCGUUGUAGCGCUGCGAGCCCUGUCGGGGGCUGCGGCGCUCAGAACCGGGGCCGCCCGAGCCGCCGCUCGGUCCCUGCCCGGCCGGGAGCGCCGGGCCCGCGCUGGAGCCAGCCCUGAGCACCCGGCCCGGGUCACGGCGGCUCCCAGUGACCGUCUGCUGGCAAAAUCGGAAGGAACGGUGACGUUGUUCUUAGCUGAACACCAUUAAAAUGCUCCUCUGGUAUCUCUCAAUAGAGGUGAAAAGCAUUUCAGCUUCCUGGAAAUGGCCGAAAGAGGCGACGUGUAGAUCAAAGUACGGCGCAGAGCUGGGCUCGUGUUUGCAGGGGUUUUUGAACUGUAGUGAAAACGUUUCUGCAGCUUGCAUCGUAAUGAGUUAAGUCAGCACGUGAAGCGGCUAAAAAAGGCAUAUUUAAACAGCAUCGGGCUAUUAACUUUCCUGGGAUUUAAGAUUUAUGUUUAAAUAUAUAUUUGGCUGUUAGCAAUACCAGCAUUUAAACCGUAACGUUGAUCUGUUCAACCCUGAAGCAAACCAGCUCUGCCUAACGCAGCUUUGAAGCGACACAGCCAGACCAUAAUACUGUGGGAGCUUAGACAGCUUUGUCUGUACUUGCAUCUCUCUGCAUAUUUUUCCAGCACUCUGAUCUUUGCCUGCGAUUAAUCAUUGUCCAGGACGGCUGUUCCCGGUGGUAGGAUCCAUGAAGUGCUCCAGCUGGGAGAGGUCCUAACGCGUGUGCCUGGCGCUGCGUACGUGCAAACCAGGGCCAGAAAUUGCUGGGGCAGCAGGCGCUGGACAGCGAGCCUGCCGUGCCGCCCCAGUGAGUUGUGUGAGUCCUCAGCACUUCUGGAAGUUGUUUUUGUAAGUCUGAGCCGAAAAUUUCUUUCCGUUUUUUAGAAGUUUCUAAAUGACUAUAAUGUUCAGUGUAGUUUAAAAGUCGCCAAGGCAGUUGAGACCAGUUGUGCUCUCAGAGUGGGUGGUUUCAUGGCUGAACCUCGUAUCUGAAAAGCUAAAUGUUCUGGUACAGCGUGUUUAAAUCCCAGAAAGGUCAAAGCAGACUUUCAUACUUGAGUUAGAUUGACCCUGGUUUGCUGCGUGAGACUCUUUAGAUAAAGAGAUCUUUCAGGGGAAAGGGGGGGGGGAAGAUUUUUUUUUUCUCUGAACAGCUUGUGGUGACUCUGUGCACAUUCUUGAAGCAAAGGAGUUUGUUCUUGCCCACAGCGUCCCUGCCUGGCAUUGUUGAGUGGAAAACUCUUAUGCUAAUUAUAUCACUGUCUGUUAUCAAUAAGAAGUGAUUUAAUUUCUUUGGCAAAGUGUUGCAACAAGAGCAAAUUAGUUUGAGAGGCAAAGUGAAAUAAAAAAUAUGCAGCUGUUCUGCCAAACAAUGAUCCUGACUGUUUACAACAUUUUGGUUUAGACUGCCUUGUACACUGAACCCUUUAUAUUGUAGGUUUUUAAAGUCACAAUCCACUGCUUGUGCAAGGAAACUAGAUUAAUAGAUUAUAAAAGACAAAAGAGACCAAGGUUCAUCUGGUUCAACUUCCUGCAUUAUGCAGGUCUCUUGAUUUUUAUGAAUUUCUGGCUUUUUCUCAUUUGAAAGAAUUUAACUGCAGCAUAGCUGCAUCUUAGAUAAAGAUCAGAUUUUCAUUUUCAAAUGGGCUGUGAAAGGGAGUAAAAUAAGGAUAAAUUGUUUCCAUCAAAAAAAAAUCUACCUGACAGACUAGAAAUCAAAGUACCUUUUUAAACUUGUCUAGUUUCUGCUUUCAGUUUCUGGAUGUGUGUGUCCCUCAGUCUCCUUGGCAGAGGAAUGCUCCAUGACCAGAUUUCCAUCCCCUCAUGGCUGUGUGCAAGCUGAGCAUUUAAACACGCCAUUGCAGGCUGCAGAGCUCCCCCUCGGGUCCAUCUUUACUAAUCCUGUAAUUGUUCCUGCUCCAGUUUGUCACCAUUUUGAUCUGGGCAGAAGGGGACAGAGCCAUCGGCAGUGACCAUGCCCGAGCCAGCAGCCCUCCUGGCUCAGAUGUGUCUGUCAGGCAUCCAGGGAUUACUGCAGCCCAUGUUCAGCUGGUUUCCCAGCAGGGCAGCUAAAAUGCUCUCAGAUCUGCUCCUUCUUGGGAUGACAACCCUGUACUGCAGAAUUGUGCUCUUUGUUUUGCAUGUAUGGCUUUACUCUGGUCCUCUUAGCGUUGUUGCUUGCAAUGGCCUUUUAAAAUUAUUAUUUUUAUUUGAUACUCCCUUCUGAUACUGCUUAGUGUCACCUACAAACUUGGUUGGUUAUGAUUUUAUGUUUUCUUCCAGAUAAACAACCUGUCUGCACUGUGGGUGUUUCCCAGUUCCGGGUGUGUGUACACACACCUCAGCAGUGUCAAUAUUGUGUCAGGAGGAGGUCUGGUUCCACACCAUCCCUUGCCACACCCCAGUUGCAUGGGAAGAAAGCCCAGUUUAGGAGCUGGAAGGGAGCCAGAGGCACACUGCAACACUUGCCUGCCCUGGUGUCUAUUAUGUAGCCAUGAAAUAAUGCAGAGCACAAAACAGGUGGUUGCAGGACCCAUAAAAGAAAGAUCAGAGGUCUGGGGCAGAGUGGUUACAAAGUACAUUUAGAGACCUUCCUGUUAGAUGUUUUUUUUAGACGUGAUGCCUCACUACAUACUCUGUAUCCAGCUCUUCAUUCAAGACCUAAAUACAUUAGGGACUUCUUCCCCCCUGCCAAAUUUGAGAUUGGAGGGAGGAGGGGGGGAAAUUACUUAGAACAACACUGUCGCAUUAGACGGUUUUAUUUUUAGGAAACCAGGCUAAGAAUAUCAAAGGAAUAUUGAGUAGGAAUAUGGACAGGGUAUUUGCCUGUUCAGAUUUUCUUGCCAUGGAAUUUUUCAUUCCUUCCGAAGAACAGCAGAUGAUCUGUCUAGGGAAUUGUCAGCCAAAAUAAGCAACCUGCUGACAGAUUUCACCUGUGUCCCAGCAUGCUCUGAGGAUGCAUGGGAUGUGAGCCUUGAACAAUGACAGGGAAUCACUAGGUUGUGUUGUUUGGCUGCCAGGGUGCAGAGAUGCAUGGUGACACCCAGCAGUGGAACAAACAUUUAAUGUGUUUAAAAUCCAGACAAUUUUUUAUGCAUAUGUUGGCUAUUUGCCAUAGCUGGGGGGGUGGUGGGGGUGGUGGUACUUUUUAAACUGUAUGUGAUCAUAUUAUUUCUGCAAGUAUUAUGACAAAGCCACCUCUGUAAGGUAGGGAGUGAGUGCUUUCAGAGAUCUAAUCUUUCUUGAGCUAUAAAGGAAUAAAGAAGCUGUUUCAACACCUGA